CAAAAAAGGAACUUGUAUACCAAUCUCUUAUUAAGAAGGUAUGCCUGAGACAUGAACUCCAUGCUGUGACCAAAGCCAUUGCUUCCUGCAAUCUGCAUGGAACCGACAGACAGAGGUGACAUUGACAUAUUGUCCUCAAUCUCAUGCUCCCUCAAAUUUUCCAUAAUCAAUUAUGUUAAUGAGAGCCAAGGUAUUGAAACUAAUUAAGGAUCUAAUAGUAAUGUUUAGAUGUAAUGAGUUAACUGCAUCAUACCAAGAACUUGCCUAUAUAUUGGAGGCAGAAUUUUGGUUGGUUGGCCACAUA
This 304-nucleotide long non-coding RNA is filed under the name Trifolium pratense (red clover). Its description in RNAcentral is "long non-coding RNA (TPRA_LNC004412)". The record is from RNAcentral. Lineage: Eukaryota; Viridiplantae; Streptophyta; Magnoliopsida; Fabales; Fabaceae.